GUGGGGCUAGCUCAGUCGGUAGAGCACGAGACUCUUAAUCUCAGGGUCGUGGGUUCAUGCGCCACA
RNAcentral lists this transfer RNA (66 nucleotides) under Erinaceus europaeus (western European hedgehog). It matches the Rfam family "tRNA". From Rfam's summary of the family: Transfer RNA (tRNA) molecules are approximately 80 nucleotides in length. The record is from Rfam by way of RNAcentral. Lineage: Eukaryota; Metazoa; Chordata; Mammalia; Eulipotyphla; Erinaceidae.